Stegodyphus dumicola is the source of this 762-nucleotide long non-coding RNA. The record is from RefSeq and is a predicted model, not a curated record. Lineage: Eukaryota; Metazoa; Arthropoda; Arachnida; Araneae; Eresidae.
CAAAUUUAGAUUUCCUCCCUUAUGAUGUUUCUUCGUAAGGAAUUAAACAAAAGUAGAAUUCUCUCCGAGACAACUGUCGUCUGAGCAGAAUGAUGUCAGCGAUUCACUUGUGCGGCAAGAUCUCUUGGACCUUGGUGUAUCUGGAGAAAAAUGGCCAUAAUAAGCAAAACCAAAGAGUGAAAUAUGUUUAAAAAAACCUCACGUAUGCUGGAUUUCAUCUGAUGUGGUUGUAGCAACGACAAGAAGUGAAACCUUUUGCAAAAGGUAGCUGGGUCCCACAAGCUCACUGAAACUGCGUUAAAACAGAUUUGAAUUUUGUGCAUCACAACACAAGCUGCGUUUUUGCUCCAUGGCCUCUAUCAGCAUGCUAUUCGGAUGUUAAAGGCAGUUGUGCCAUUACUACAAAGUAAAGCUUCUGCAUCUGCUGAAGUUAUCCAGCCUGUCUCUACAAGAAUUAUUCUGCAAGAAUUUAUUUUGCUUUCAAUCAGCCCGUCUCCAUAGCCAAAUUGUCUGGUUUUCCACUUCAGCGACACAUGGUUUCCCUCUCUUACCCCCCCCCCAGACUUCAAUGCCUCCAAUCUCACCGGUCAGGGACUUUAAACUCUCAAGGUGCCACCACGGCAUACUUAUCAGGAGCCGGUAAAGUGUCAUGUACUAGAGACAGACCGGCAAUAAAGACAUGGACUGGACUGGGCUCUGUGAUGAGGCCGCGAUCUGUCUUCCUUAAGCCAUUAUAAUGUAUCCAACUGAGUCUUUUCCUUA